GACGAACGCUGGCGGCGUGCCUAACACAUGCAAGUCGAGCGAGUGGAGUUCUUCGGAACAAAGCUAGCGGCGGACGGGUGAGUAACACGUGGGCAACCUGCCUCAUAGAGGGGAAUAGCCUCCCGAAAGGGAGAUUAAUACCGCAUAAGAUUGUAGCUUCGCAUGAAGUAGCAAUUAAAGGAGUAAUCCGCUAUGAGAUGGGCCCGCGGCGCAUUAGCUAGUUGGUGAGGUAACGGCUCACCAAGGCGACGAUGCGUAGCCGACCUGAGAGGGUGAUCGGCCACAUUGGGACUGAGACACGGCCCAGACUCCUACGGGAGGCAGCAGUGGGGAAUAUUGCACAAUGGGGGAAACCCUGAUGCAGCAACGCCGCGUGAGUGAUGACGGCCUUCGGGUUGUAAAGCUCUGUCUUCAGGGACGAUAAUGACGGUACCUGAGGAGGAAGCCACGGCUAACUACGUGCCAGCAGCCGCCGUAA
Molecule: ribosomal RNA, 478 nt
Filed under: uncultured bacterium
Lineage: Bacteria
Description: partial 16S ribosomal RNA
Rfam family: Bacterial small subunit ribosomal RNA
Source: RNAcentral